Molecule: ribosomal RNA, 423 nt
Filed under: uncultured soil bacterium
Lineage: Bacteria
Description: bacterial SSU rRNA
Rfam family: Bacterial small subunit ribosomal RNA
Source: RNAcentral
GGGACGAACGCUGGCGGCGUGCUUAACACACGCAAGUCGAACGGUGAAGGAGAGCUUGCUCUCCGGAUCAGUGGCGAACGGGUGAGUAACACGUGAGUAACCUGCCCUUGACUCUGGGAUAAGCGUUGGAAACGACGUCUAAUACCGGAUACGAGCUUCAGCCGCAUGGCUAGGAGCUGGAAAGAAUUUCGGCAAGGAUGGACUCGCGGCCUAUCAGCCAGUUGGUGAGGUAAUGGCUCACCAAGGCGACGAUCCGUAACUGGUCUGAGAGGAUGAUCAGUCACACUGGAACUGAGACACGGUCCAGACUCCGUACGGGAGCAGCAGUGGGAAUAGUGACAUGGGCAAAGCCUAGAUCCAGCCAUGCCGCGUGUGUAGAAGAAGGUCUUCGGAUUGUAAAGCUAAGUUUAAGGUGGAAGGAGG